RNAcentral lists this ribosomal RNA (460 nucleotides) under uncultured bacterium. RNAcentral describes it as "partial 16S ribosomal RNA". It matches the Rfam family "Bacterial small subunit ribosomal RNA", at positions 338 to 795 of the family's 1533-position model. The record is from RNAcentral.
CCUACGGGAGGCAGCAGUGAGGAAUAUUGGUCAAUGGACGAGAGUCUGAACCAGCCAAGUAGCGUGAAGGAUGACUGCCCUAUGGGUUGUAAACUUCUUUUAUAUGGGAAUAAAAUGUUCCACGUGUGGGAUUUUGUAUGUACCAUAUGAAUAAUGAUCGGCUAACUCCGUGCCAGCAGCCGCGGUAAUACGGAGGAUCCGAGCGUUAUCCGGAUUUAUUGGGUUUAAAGGGAGCGUAGGUGGAUUGUUAAGUCAGUUGUGAAAGUUUGCGGCUCAACCGUAAAAUUGCAGUUGAAACUGGCAGUCUUGAGUACAGUAGAGGUGGGAGGAAUUCGUGGUGUAGCGGUGAAAUGCUUAGAUAUCACGAAGAACUCCGAUUGCGAAGGCAGUUCACUGGACUGCAACUGACACUGAGGCUCGAAAGUGUGGGUAUCAAACAGGAUUAGAUACCCCUGUAGUC